This is a long non-coding RNA of Pangasianodon hypophthalmus (striped catfish), 512 nucleotides long. RefSeq lists it as uncharacterized. NCBI's taxonomy places the organism in Eukaryota, Metazoa, Chordata, Actinopteri, Siluriformes, Pangasiidae. The record is from RefSeq and is a predicted model, not a curated record. The transcript is spliced from 4 exons.
UUCAUUACCAAGCCUUUGUAUUUCCAUAGUCUACCCAGUUAUAGAUCUUGUUUACAUGUUUUGCCUUAAGUCUUGCCUAGUUCACAUUGUUUGAUAUCGCUUGACCUCUGCCUGUUUUUUUUUUUUUUUUUUUUUACUGUACUCCUGCCUUACGUUUUGGAAUUGUCUGCCUGUGUCUUCAGUAAAGCUGCUGUUUACCUGCACUUGCAUCCUCUUCUGCCUCGUGACACCCACUUAGGGCAGAUUUUCCUCCAGCAUGUGAUGCCACCCUGGCUAGUGUACUGGCCCAAUGAUGUCUCCAAGAAGAAGAGGGGUAUGCCACAGGAAAAUAGGAACAGUCACUACAUGUCUUACCACAAAACCGAGUAUACAACUUCACCCACCACCUCAUGCAGCCCCUGUCCUAGGGAAACAGCACCACAUACAAUAAGGAAACCUCCACACAUUUCCCAGACCAACGAUAUGUCCUGCAACAGCCAGAAAAAAAUCCAUCUUACUGGCCCACUGUUCUC